GUUAAGCGACUAAGCGUACACGGUGGAUGCCCUGGCAGUCAGAGGCGAUGAAGGACGUGCUAAUCUGCGAUAAGCGUCGGUGAGGUGAUAUGAACCGUUAUAACCGGCGAUUUCCGAAUGGGGAAACCCAGUGUGUUUCGACACACUAUCAUUAACUGAAUCCAUAGGUUAAUGAGGCGAACCGGGGGAACUGAAACAUCUAAGUACCCCGAGGAAAAGAAAUCAACCGAGAUUCCCCCAGUAGCGGCGAGCGAACGGGGAGGAGCCCAGAGCCUGAAUCAGUGUGUGUGUUAGUGGAAGCGUCUGGAAAGGCGUGCGAUACAGGGUGACAGCC
RNAcentral lists this ribosomal RNA (334 nucleotides) under Escherichia coli. RNAcentral's name for it is "partial 23S ribosomal RNA". It matches the Rfam family "Bacterial large subunit ribosomal RNA", at positions 1 to 372 of the family's 2925-position model. Lineage: Bacteria; Pseudomonadati; Pseudomonadota; Gammaproteobacteria; Enterobacterales; Enterobacteriaceae. The record is from RNAcentral.